AUCAGUUGCAGGAGCACAGGACUACUGGUUUUUCUGAUGUACUGUACAGUGAUGAGUGUACAAUUGAAUUCGAAUCCCACAGGAGAUUUUCAUGAAGGAAAAUAGGUGCCCCCGAAACCAAAACCAAGAGCAAAACACCCCUAUAAGGUACAUGCAUGGGCAGGUAUAAGUUGCCAAGGAAAGACGCCAAUUGUGCUGUUUGAAGAAAAAA
RNAcentral lists this long non-coding RNA (211 nucleotides) under Amphimedon queenslandica. RNAcentral's name for it is "uncharacterized LOC109585130". The record is from RNAcentral. Lineage: Eukaryota; Metazoa; Porifera; Demospongiae; Haplosclerida; Niphatidae.